GACGAACGCUGGCGGCGUGCUUAGCACAUGCAAGUCGAACGCGCCUGUCCUCUGGGUUUCUGGGGGGUGGGUGAGUGGCGAACGGGUGAGUAACACGUGAGUAACCUGCCCCCUUCUUCGGGAUAACGGUCUGAAAGGGCUGCUAAUACCGGGUAUUCACUGGUCUCCGCAUGGGGUCUGGUGGAAAGGUUUUUUUCUGGUGGGGGAUGGGCUCGCGGCCUAUCAGCUUGUUGGUGGGGUGAUGGCCCACCAAGGCUUUGACGGGUAGCCGGCCUGAGAGGGUGACCGGUCACAUUGGGACUGAGAUACGGCCCAGACUCCUACGGGAGGCAGCAGUGGGGAAUAUUGCACAAUGGGCGCAAGCCUGAUGCAGCGACGCCGCGUGAGGGAUGGAGGCCCUCGGGUUGUGAACCUCUUUCGCCCGUGGUCAAGCCGCGACGUGGGUCGUGGUGAGGGUAGUGGGUAAAGAAGCGCCGGCUAACUACGUG
Molecule: ribosomal RNA, 488 nt
Filed under: uncultured bacterium
Lineage: Bacteria
Description: partial 16S ribosomal RNA
Rfam family: Bacterial small subunit ribosomal RNA
Source: RNAcentral